RNAcentral lists this ribosomal RNA (498 nucleotides) under uncultured bacterium. RNAcentral's name for it is "partial 16S ribosomal RNA". It matches the Rfam family "Bacterial small subunit ribosomal RNA", at positions 29 to 523 of the family's 1533-position model. The record is from RNAcentral.
AUUGAACGCUGGCGGCAUGCCUUACACAUGCAAGUCGAACGGUAACGCGGGGCAACCUGGCGACGAGUGGCGAACGGGUGAGUAAUGCAUCGGAACGUGCCCAGUAGUGGGGGAUAGCCCGGCGAAAGCCGGAUUAAUACCGCAUACGACCUACGGGUGAAAGGGGGGGAUCGCAAGACCUCUCGCUAUUGGAGCGGCCGAUGUCAGAUUAGGUAGGUGGUGGGGUAAAGGCCCACCAAGCCUUCGAUCUGUAGCUGGUCUGAGAGGACGACCAGCCAAACUGGGACUGAGACACGGCCCAGACUCCGACGGGAGGCAGCAGUGGGGAAUUUUGGACAAUGGGCGCAAGCCUGAUCCAGCCAUGCCGCGUGCGGGAAGAAGGCCUUCGGGUUGUAAACCGCUUUUGUCAGGGAAGAAACGCUCCGGGCUAAUACCUCGGGGUAAUGACGGUACCUGAAGAAUAAGCACCGGCUAACUACGUGCCAGCCGCCGCGGUAA